GAAAAUGCUGUGAAGAGAAGAGUACAUGCGUAAAUCAUUAACAGAGAACCCUGUUAGCUGAGAAAGGGUAAUUGCUAAGCGUAUGGAAGAUGGUCUUGGAGCUUCGUUUCUGAAUGAGUUAUACGGAUUUUACGUGUAUACUCUUUAGGGAAUGACGGGAAUCUGCAACCGUUACCAUGCAAGACUGUUGCUAAGGCAUCGACGCUAGUUUAACAUUACUUAAUGGAUAACAAAGCCUGUAUAGCGUAGUUAGCAGUUGUUAAGUUCUAUUUUGUGAAAAAUAGAAGAAUUAAAGUGGUAUCACGAGACUUCAUCUCGUCUUUAAA
Molecule: non-coding RNA, 326 nt
Filed under: Anaerosporobacter mobilis
Lineage: Bacteria; Bacillati; Bacillota; Clostridia; Lachnospirales; Lachnospiraceae
Description: T-box sequence
Rfam family: T-box leader
About the family: Uncharged tRNA acts as the effector for transcription antitermination of genes in the T-box leader family. T-boxes are found upstream of many aminoacyl-tRNA synthetase genes and some amino acid biosynthetic genes usually in Gram-positive bacteria. The anticodon of a specific tRNA base pairs to a specifier sequence within the T-box motif, and the NCCA acceptor tail of the tRNA base pairs to a conserved bulge in the T-box antiterminator hairpin.
Source: RNAcentral